This 350-nucleotide ribosomal RNA is filed under the name uncultured Staphylococcus sp. RNAcentral's name for it is "bacterial SSU rRNA". It matches the Rfam family "Bacterial small subunit ribosomal RNA", at positions 1037 to 1388 of the family's 1533-position model. Lineage: Bacteria; Bacillati; Bacillota; Bacilli; Caryophanales; Staphylococcaceae. The record is from RNAcentral.
GGUGGUGCAUGGUUGUCGUCAGCUCGUGUCGUGAGAUGUUGGGUUAAGUCCCGCAUCGAGCGCAACCCUUAAGCUUAGUUGCCAUCAUUAAGUUGGGCACUCUAGGUUGACUGCCGGUGACAAACCGGAGGAAGGUGGGGAUGACGUCAAAUCAUCAUGCCCCAUAUGAUUUGGGCUACACACGUGCUACAAUGGAUAAUACAAAGGGCAGCGAAUCCGCGAGGCCAAGCAAAUCCCAUAAAAUUAUUCUCAGUUCGGAUUGUAGUCUGCAACUCGACUACAUGAAGCUGGAAUCGCUAGUAAUCGUAGAUCAGCAUGCUACGGUGAAUACGUUCCCGGGUCUUGUACAC